This 544-nucleotide unclassified non-coding RNA is filed under the name Hevea brasiliensis (rubber tree). Lineage: Eukaryota; Viridiplantae; Streptophyta; Magnoliopsida; Malpighiales; Euphorbiaceae. The record is from RNAcentral.
AAAAAAAAAAAAAAAAAUACUGCCAUGGAAAAGUUUUAACAAGGAGCUGCUGGAGCAAGAAGCAAAAGAUCUUGAUCUUAAAAGAAACACCCAAACUCCAGUGAUAAAAGGAUCUAUCAUCGGAGUUAAUGGUGGAGAAGGAAGCAAAGCUCCUGUUCUUGGGACGACGAGCACAAACAUGUGUUGGUAGAGACCCCGAGAAUACUGCCUUCACCUAACUUUGCACAUAGACAGCCCACAGCACAAAAUAAAUGCCAACAAACCAAUAUCACAACCCUCUGAACAUCGGCUCCUUGAAAACACCUGCAUGCAACAGAUCUAAACACACAAACACACAAAACUACAGCUAUCAGAGAUACAACAGCCAAAAAGUGUCCUCUCUUCUUUGAUUCCGUCGGCUGCACUCUAAGAACCUAAAUAUUAUUUACACACCCACCCAACGUGAAAAGGGAACCCGCGAAUCGAGCGAGAGGAAGGACGGCCUUCGCCUGCCCAGAGGGGCAGAGGAAGACCGCCUGAUGUGGCAAAACAGAGGGGCCUGAAC